UAGGGAAUCUUCGGCAAUGGGGGCAACCCUGACCGAGCAACGCCGCGUGAGUGAAGAAGGUUUUCGGAUCGUAAAGCUCUGUUGUAAGAGAAGAACGAGUGUGAGAGUGGAAAGUUCACACUGUGACGGUAACUUACCAGAAAGGGACGGCUAACUACGUGCCAGCAGCCGCGGUAAUACGUAGGUCCCGAGCGUUAUCCGGAUUUAUUGGGCGUAAAGCGAGCGCAGGCGGUUAGAUAGGUCUGAAGUUAAAGGCUGUGGCUUAACCAUAGUACGCUUUGGAAACUGUUUAACUUGAGUGCAGAAGGGGAGAGUGGAAUUCCAUGUGUAGCGGUGAAAUGCGUAGAUAUAUGGAGGAACACCGGUGGCGAAAGCGGCUCUCUGGUCUGUAACUGACGCUGAGGCUCGAAAGCGUGGGGAGCAAACAGGAUUAGAUACCCUGGUAGUCCACGCCGUAAACGAUGAGUGCUAGGUGUUGGGUCCUUUCCGGGGCUCAGUGCCGCAGCUAACGCAUUAAGCACUCCGCCUGGGGAGUACGACCGCAAGGNUG
This 550-nucleotide ribosomal RNA is filed under the name uncultured bacterium. RNAcentral describes it as "bacterial SSU rRNA". It matches the Rfam family "Bacterial small subunit ribosomal RNA", at positions 355 to 896 of the family's 1533-position model. The record is from RNAcentral.